Molecule: ribosomal RNA, 452 nt
Filed under: uncultured bacterium
Lineage: Bacteria
Description: bacterial SSU rRNA
Rfam family: Bacterial small subunit ribosomal RNA
Source: RNAcentral
AACGAACGCUGGCGGCAGGCCUAACACAUGCAAGUCGAACGCGCGUAGCAAUACGCGAGUGGCGCACGGGUGAGUAACACGUGGGAAUCAACCCUGAGGUUCGGAAUAACCGCGGGAAACUGCGGCUAAUACCGGAUGUCCCCCAUGGGGGAAAGAUUUAUCGCCUUGGGACGAGCCCGCGUCCGAUUAGCUAGUUGGUGAGGUAACGGCUCACCAAGGCUACGAUCGGUAGCUGGUCUGAGAGGAUGACCAGCCACACUGGAACUGAGAUACGGUCCAGACUCCUACGGGAGGCAGCAGUGGGGAAUAUUGGGCAAUGGAGGCAACUCUGACCCAGCCAUGCCGCGUGGGUGACGAAGGUCUUCGGAUUGUAAAGCCCUUUCGGCGGAGACGAUGAUGACGGUAUCCGCAGAAGAAGCCCCGGCUAACUUCGUGCCAGCCGCCGCAGUAAG